GCUCGUCUGGGUUAGGCGAUGGGGGCUUCUUCCCCUUUCUGUGGGAUUUCCUUGGUCGCGUCGUGUUUCCCUGCUGUCGCCACAUGGUAGUUGCUCGCCAAGCAGGUCUCGGCUGAAACUUCCUGUUGCUUACCUUCUUCCCUGUUGGAUUCAGCUGUAAACGCUCUUCUAGACUGCAGCUCUGUUUUUUUUUUUUUGGGGGGGGGUGGUGUCGUCAUUUUGGUAUUGGUUAGUGCCGAGCACAAUGAAUAGAUGAGUCUGGUCAAGGCUUUUUCUUUCUGUCAUAAGUGAUCAAUAAUCAUCUGGCAGUAAGAGAUGAUCUUAUUACAGAAAAAGCCAAAGUGCACAGUAAGAGCAGCUGAAAUACAAGGUUCACAGACAGGAUGUAACCUUAUGUAAGAUGGAAACCUGUGAAGAAAGAUACAGAUAGCAGUUGGAGUUAAAAGUAGCAGACGAAUAUUUCUCUUCUUAAGUGUAAGCUUUUUUAAAACGCUAUGGUGAUUUGGAAAGUCUCAAGAGUGAACUGCAAAGUUUUUCUCAGCUCAGUCGAUGGGUUUUUUAGUUAUUUGUCCAAGUCUUUGGUGUUCAGAGAUGGUGUGUGAUGGGAAAAGCACCACGUCUGUGUAUUUUUAGCCGCUGUUUUUUGGAUUAGUUUGCUGUGCAGCUGAACCAAUUUCGUUUUGAAGGGCAAGGAGUGAAUGUGAUGGAUUUAUCUUCAGAAAUGAACAAACAUGGAAGGAAUCCAGUAAGUCACAAGCUAGAAGAUCAGAAGAAGAUCAUGACUUGAACAGAUUCUUGCACCAUGGUUAUCCAGCUUUUCCUGCUGUCUCACAUGCAACAAAAUUCAUGCAUAUGCAUCGAAGAGUUUUCCUCAAAAUCUGGCAUGCCCUGAAACAAAACCAAGAAGCAGUACAAUGCUAUUGAAAAUCAGUGGUGUGUGUCAGAUGCAAAAUAUGUGUUUCGUGGGAAUACUGCUGAAAUACUGGUGCUCAUCCAUAGUUAUCUCGUUCACUCUUUAAAAAUAAAGCACAUUUCUCUGAGUUGUUGAUUCUUCUG
Molecule: long non-coding RNA, 1056 nt
Filed under: Struthio camelus australis
Lineage: Eukaryota; Metazoa; Chordata; Aves; Struthioniformes; Struthionidae
Description: lncRNA (ENSSCUG00000009138.1)
Source: RNAcentral